AAACAACCUCCUAUGUUUUGAUUCUUUGGCAGUUUUGGACCCCUAAACAAAACAAAAAAAUUGACACGUGGCACCUCACUUAGGGUGUCACGUCAGAGUUGACCGAGUCAACAAUGGACUGGGGGUCCAAAACUGCCAAUGAAUCAAAACAUAUGGGGCUGUUU
This 164-nucleotide microRNA precursor is filed under the name Medicago truncatula (barrel medic). RNAcentral's name for it is "MIR2619 microRNA precursor family". It matches the Rfam family "MIR2619 microRNA precursor family". Lineage: Eukaryota; Viridiplantae; Streptophyta; Magnoliopsida; Fabales; Fabaceae. The record is from Rfam by way of RNAcentral.